Molecule: transfer RNA, 75 nt
Filed under: Candidatus Peregrinibacteria bacterium
Lineage: Bacteria; Candidatus Peregrinibacteriota
Description: tRNA-Glu
Rfam family: tRNA
About the family: Transfer RNA (tRNA) molecules are approximately 80 nucleotides in length. Their secondary structure includes four short double-helical elements and three loops (D, anti-codon, and T loops). Further hydrogen bonds mediate the characteristic L-shaped molecular structure. tRNAs have two regions of fundamental functional importance: the anti-codon, which is responsible for specific mRNA codon recognition, and the 3' end, to which the tRNAs corresponding amino acid is attached (by aminoacyl-tRNA synthetases). tRNAs cope with the degeneracy of the genetic code in two manners: having more than one tRNA (with a specific anti-codon) for a particular amino acid; and 'wobble' base-pairing, i.e. permitting non-standard base-pairing at the 3rd anti-codon position.
Source: RNAcentral
GGCCUCAUCGUCUAGCGGCUAGGACAUCGCCCUCUCACGGCGAAAACAGGGGUUCAAUUCCCCUUGGGGCUACCA